AUUGAACGCUGGCGGCAGGCUUAACACAUGCAAGUCGAGCGAGCGGCGGACGGGUGAGUAAUGUCUGGGAAACUGCCUGAUGGAGGGGGAUAACUACUGGAAACGGUAGCUAAUACCGCAUACCAUCAGAUGUGCCCAGAUGGGAUUAGCUAGUAGGUGGGGUAAUGGCUCACCUAGGCGACGAUCCCUAGCUGGUCUGAGAGGAUGACCAGCCACACGGCAACUGAGACACGGUCCAGAGUGCUACGGGAGGAAGCAGUGGGGAAUUGUGCACAAUGGGAGCAAGCCUGAUGGAGUCAUGCCGCGUGUGUGAAGAAGGCAUGCGGGUUGUAAAGCACUUUCAGCGAGGAGGCGUUACUCGCAGAAGAAGCACCGGCUAACUCCGUGCCAGCAGCCGCGGUAAUUC
Molecule: ribosomal RNA, 406 nt
Filed under: uncultured bacterium
Lineage: Bacteria
Description: partial 16S ribosomal RNA
Rfam family: Bacterial small subunit ribosomal RNA
Source: RNAcentral